CGGGAUGUGAGAGUCGCGGGCGCUGCGCUUGGGGUCGGUGGCGGAGAAGACGGUGUAGACGAGGACGAAGGUGCCGAUGAUCUCCGCGCCAAGGGCGGCGCCGGUGGAGUAUCCGUCCGCCACCUCGUUGGUGCCGCCGCUAAGGGAGUUGUAGGGCUUCUUCAUGAAGGCCUUCACCAGCCCCACGCCGCAAAUGGCCCCCAGAGAUUGCGCCGCCAUGUACCCCACCGCCCUCAGCAGCGAGACCUUCCUCGCCAGCAGAAGCCCGAAGGUCACCGCCGGGUUGAUAUGCCCCCCUGCACAGCGAACAAGUCCAGACCGACUUAGAGAGAGAUAGAGAGAAAAAGUAAGAGAGAGAGAGAGAGAGAGAGAGANNNNNNNNNNNNNNNNNNNNACGACGACGAACGAACGACGACGACGACGUAGAGAGAGAGAGAGAAGAAGAAGAGAGAGAGAGAGAGAGAGAGAGAGAGGAGGCGAACCAGAGAUGCCGGCGGUGCAGUAGACGAGGACGAAGAUCAUGCCGCCGGCGGCCCAGGCGAUGCCAAGCAGGCCGACGCCGCCGCAGGCAUCGGCCUGCUUCUUGUGGCCGAUGAUGGUGGCCACUAAGACGUAGAGGAAUAGCAGGGUGGCAAUGAACUCUGCGAUCAGGGCUCUGUAGAAGGACCACAGACGGAGCUCCCCCAAGUCGAAGAGCGGUGCCGGCGGCGGAUCGCUGUAGUCCCUCGCCGCCUGCUGCGCCGACUCGACGCUCACCUCCUUCGUCAUCUCUGCGCUCGCUUCCCUCUGACACGACGACGAAGACCUCUUUCUUCUUCUUUUCCUUCUUCC
This 831-nucleotide long non-coding RNA is filed under the name Spirodela polyrhiza (greater duckweed). RNAcentral's name for it is "long non-coding RNA (SPOL_LNC001039)". Lineage: Eukaryota; Viridiplantae; Streptophyta; Magnoliopsida; Alismatales; Araceae. The record is from RNAcentral.